RNAcentral lists this ribosomal RNA (960 nucleotides) under Enterococcus mundtii. RNAcentral's name for it is "bacterial SSU rRNA". It matches the Rfam family "Bacterial small subunit ribosomal RNA", at positions 26 to 960 of the family's 1533-position model. The record is from RNAcentral. Lineage: Bacteria; Bacillati; Bacillota; Bacilli; Lactobacillales; Enterococcaceae.
UGGGGAGGCGCAGGGGCCUAAUCAUGCAGUCGAACGCUUCUUUUCCCACCGGAGCUUGCUCCACCGGGAAAAGAGGAGUGGCGAACGGGUGAGUAACACGUGGGUAACCUGCCCAUCAGAAGGGGAUAACACUUGGAAACAGGUGCUAAUACCGUAUAACAAUCGAAACCGCAUGGUUUCGUUUUGAAAGGCGCUUUACGGUGCCGCUGAUGGAUGGACCCGCGGUGCAUUAGCUAGUUGGUGAGGUAACGGCUCACCAAGGCCACGAUGCAUACCCGACCUGAGAGGGUGAUCGGCCACAUUGGGACUGAGACACGGCCCAAACUCCUACGGGAGGCAGCAGUAGGGAAUCUUCGGCAAUGGACGAAAGUCUGACCGAGCAACGCCGCGUGAGUGAAGAAGGUUUUCGGAUCGUAAAACUCUGUUGUUAGAGAAGAACAAGGGUGAGAGUAACUGUUCACCCCUUGACGGUAUCUAACCAGAAAGCCACGGCUAACUACGUGCCAGCAGCCGCGGUAAUACGUAGGUGGCAAGCGUUGUCCGGAUUUAUUGGGCGUAAAGCGAGCGCAGGCGGUUUCUUAAGUCUGAUGUGAAAGCCCCCGGCUCAACCGGGGAGGGUCAUUGGAAACUGGGAGACUUGAGUGCAGAAGAGGAGAGUGGAAUUCCAUGUGUAGCGGUGAAAUGCGUAGAUAUAUGGAGGAACACCAGUGGCGAAGGCGGCUCUCUGGUCUGUAACUGACGCUGAGGCUCGAAAGCGUGGGGAGCAAACAGGAUUAGAUACCCUGGUAGUCCACGCCGUAAACGAUGAGUGCUAAGUGUUGGGAGGGUUUCCGCCCUUCAGUGCUGCAGCUAACGCAUUAAGCACUCCGCCUGGAGAGUACGACCGCAAGGGUUGACACUCAAGGAAGUGACUGGGCGCCCGCACAAGCCGGUGAGCAUGGUCGUUUAUUUCGAAGCAAC